GCCAUCAUAGCUCAGUGGCAGAGCACUGGUCUCGUAAUCCAGAUGUCGUGAGUUCGAUUCUCACUGGUGGCU
This is a non-coding RNA of Trichonephila clavipes, 72 nucleotides long. NCBI's taxonomy places the organism in Eukaryota, Metazoa, Arthropoda, Arachnida, Araneae, Nephilidae. The record is from the annotation of a GenBank genome assembly.